UUUCAUACGCCAGCAGUUGCUUAGAAAGCUGUUGAGUGGCCAGGCACAUUUCAUUCUGAAACUGCUCCCAAUGUAAUGGAAAAACCUGCCAGGGAGCUGCCAGGGUCAGACCGCACCCAGG
This is a non-coding RNA of Ceratotherium simum simum (southern white rhinoceros), 121 nucleotides long. The record is from RefSeq and is a predicted model, not a curated record. Lineage: Eukaryota; Metazoa; Chordata; Mammalia; Perissodactyla; Rhinocerotidae.